This is a long non-coding RNA of Gasterosteus aculeatus aculeatus (three-spined stickleback), 332 nucleotides long. Lineage: Eukaryota; Metazoa; Chordata; Actinopteri; Perciformes; Gasterosteidae. The record is from Ensembl.
GCAGAAUUUACACGAAUCAAUCUAAUGCUUAUGGAAACAUUUUUGGUGCAAAAUCUGCUGGUUAUGUGACAAUGCCGAAGGCGGAGGAGACGCUCGCGAGCUAUCUCUCUCCUGCUUCUUCGGUUUCACUUAAAGCACCGGCUCUUCCAUCUAGACCACUAAAAAAUACCUCUGUGCUGGUGGGGAAGGCUUACUCGGCUGCUGGGCAGGCGGCUGCGUGUUUGCACACUAUGGCUAUUAUGCAGGCUUAUCAGGCCGCGUCGAAAAAGUCCUGACGGGCUGAACGUCAGGACUCUGAGGGUGGUCCCCAUCGGGAGAGACUUGAGUUCACC